UACGAAGGGGGCUAGCGUUGUUCGGAAUUACUGGGCGUAAAGCGCGCGCAGGCGGCUAUCCAAGUCAGUGGUGAAAGCCCGGAGCUCAACUCCGGAACUGCCAUUGAAACUGUUUAGCUUGAGGACGAGAGAGGUGAGUGGAAUUCCCAGUGUAGAGGUGAAAUUCGUAGAUAUUGGGAAGAACACCGGUGGCGAAGGCGGCUCACUGGCUCGUUUCUGACGCUCAGGCGCGACAGCGUGGGGAUCAAACAGG
Molecule: ribosomal RNA, 253 nt
Filed under: uncultured bacterium
Lineage: Bacteria
Also listed under: 1 other name
Description: partial 16S ribosomal RNA
Rfam family: Bacterial small subunit ribosomal RNA
Source: RNAcentral